GCUGAGUGGCGAUCACCCCGGCUGAAGGAAGCCCUGGCCGCCCCCCUUCUCUCUCUUCUCCCUCGUUUCCUCCCCUCUGCUAGCCAGGGUGCACACUCUGCUACCUAGGGCAUGUCUGCAGCGCAGGGAGUCCCACUAGCCAGACUGCAGCCGUCACGUGCCCAGAGGCUCACCAGCGCAGUCGGAGAAGGCAGCUGCGAGCCGCCAAGCACCCCCAACCGACCUAACGGAGGUCAGCCAGGAGCACCCGCAGGAUGACAACUAGCAGUUGUAUUGCACCGUCUGCCAUCCGCAAGGCAAGGGGAUGCUGCUGUGUAGCCUCUGCCAGCAGCACUCAGGAGACAUACAAUGACAGUGAGCUGAGCAGGCUCCAUGCUUGCCAUGUGUACUGCACCUUUAAAUGUCGGAAGACUCUGCUGUCUGCUAAGCUGGGGAGUCAUUUUGUGCUCAGUUCAGUGCAGCGCAGCCUACCACAGUGGACAGACGGACGGACAGACAGACACUAUUUUCAUAAGUAAAGAGGUGUGAGCAAAUAGCUUUCUGUGGACCAAACCAAAAAAUAAAAAUAAAAUUCAUUUCAGUUCAAA
Molecule: long non-coding RNA, 587 nt
Organism: Gopherus flavomarginatus (Mexican gopher tortoise)
Lineage: Eukaryota; Metazoa; Chordata; Testudines; Testudinidae
Exons: 3
Source: RefSeq, a predicted model, not a curated record